GGGGCUGACCGGUUUUGACAGCGUGUAGAGGUGGUGAGCAAGCAUGCAGAGCAAUGAUGGCUAUGCUCUUAAAACUCUGACAUCAACAAUUUUAAAUGGCGAAAACAACUACGCUCUUGCUGCUUGAUCGAAGUAUAGUAGAUCCGCUUAAUCUCCGCAACAGUUGCAGAGACAAGACAUCGCCCAAUCGUCCUUGUUCCGAGACAGAUUGAUCAGGCGGUGCAGGUAAAUCGGAAAUAGGGAAUGCCAUGCUCCGGGGCUUUCCCGAAAAUUUAGGAGAUAAGGAUAUCGUUGGCCGUUUUCAGCCUGCUGUGUCACGAAAACCAACUGAAAACUAAGCAUGUAGAAAACUCAUUAGUUCCACGUUUGGACGAGGGUUCAAGUCCCUCCAGCUCCACU
RNAcentral lists this transfer-messenger RNA (399 nucleotides) under human gut metagenome. It matches the Rfam family "transfer-messenger RNA". From Rfam's summary of the family: Bacterial tmRNA, also known as 10Sa RNA or SsrA, is named for its dual tRNA and mRNA-like properties. Its role is to liberate the mRNA from a stalled ribosome. To accomplish this part of the tmRNA is used as a reading frame that ends in a translation stop signal. The record is from RNAcentral.